GGGGUUAUGGCUCAGUGGUAGAGCAUUUGCCUCACAUGCAUGGGACACUGGAUUUGAUCCUCAUAACCACA
Non-coding RNA from Ictidomys tridecemlineatus (thirteen-lined ground squirrel), 71 nucleotides. Lineage: Eukaryota; Metazoa; Chordata; Mammalia; Rodentia; Sciuridae. The record is from Rfam.